GGGCAGGUCGUUCACAAACAAAUUGAAAAGAAGAGGACCUAAAUGACUUCCUUGAGGAACUCCAGAGGUUACUUUCACAACAUUCGACAAGACAUUGUUAAACAAAACACGCUGUUUGCGAUUCGACAGGUAUGAUGAUAUCCAAAUUACAAGAUUUGUGGGAAAACCUAAUAAAGAGAGUUUAUGGAUCAGCAAAGUAUGAUUAACAGAAUCAAAAGCUUUACUGAAAUCUGUAAAAAUGACGUCAGUCUGCAAGCCACUUUGAAAUCCUCGGUUGAUUAGAGACGAGAAUUCUAAAAGGUUAGUAGAUGUUGAUCGAUGUCUAAAAAAACCAUGUUGAGACGGGGAUAUAAUGCUAGACAUGCGUAUUGCAAUUGACGAGUAACAAGGUGCUCGAGCAACUUCGGAAUGGCAGAUAGUAUAGCAAUACCACGAUAGUUUUCGAUAUUAGAUCUGGACCCUUUCUUGUGAAGAGGAAUAAGGUAGGAUUCAUUUCAGAUCAUGGGGAGGCGAGAACGCU
Molecule: long non-coding RNA, 520 nt
Filed under: Drosophila guanche
Lineage: Eukaryota; Metazoa; Arthropoda; Insecta; Diptera; Drosophilidae
Source: RNAcentral